GACGAACGCUGGCGGCGUGCUUAACACAUGCAAGUCGAACGGAAAGGCCCUGCUUUUGUGGGGUGCUCGAGUGGCGAACGGGUGAGUAACACGUGAGUAACCUGCCCUUGACUUUGGUAUAACUUCAGGAAACGGGGGCUAAUACCGUAUAGGAGCUCCUGCUGCAUGGUGGGGGUUGGAAAGUUUCGGCGGUUGGGGAUGGACUCGCGGCUGAUUAGCUUGUUGGUGGGGUAGUGGCUUACCAAGGCGUCGACGGGUAGCUGGCCUGAGAGGGUGACCGGCCACACUGGAACUGAGACACGGUCCAGACUCCUACGGGAGGCAGCAGUGGGGAAUAGUGGACAAUGGGCGCAAGCCUGACCCAGCCAUCGCGCGUGGGUGAAGAAGGCCUUCGGGUUGUAAAGCCCUUUUGUUGGGAAAGAAAAGCAGCAGGUUAAUACCCCGCUGUUCUGACGGUACCCAAAGAAUAAGCACCGGCUAACUUCGUG
RNAcentral lists this ribosomal RNA (488 nucleotides) under uncultured bacterium. RNAcentral's name for it is "partial 16S ribosomal RNA". It matches the Rfam family "Bacterial small subunit ribosomal RNA", at positions 28 to 507 of the family's 1533-position model. The record is from RNAcentral.